UAUUCUAUUUACCAACUCAAAUUUCCACUCUCUCUCUCCCCCCUCCCUCCUUUUUGUAAAAUAGAUGUCUGAUUGAUUCCCCAUCUGUGUGUGUAUCUGUAUGGAUGUAGGUAUGGUACCCAUACAUCAGCACCAGAGCUUCCAAAUACCACUUCUUUGAAUGACUCAUGUGAUUGAUUUGCUUCCAUUGAAUUGAAUUCUGGUCGAGAGAUCAUCCUUUCGGAAUUGUGUGGUGAACUUCUUGCUGGAAGAGAACUGCUUACUCACUCCAUUCAAGCACCUCCAUGAGCUCCUCGACAAUGGCCUCGACACUCACGCCAUUCGCCUCAAGGAGUUCUUCUUCCUCUGUUCCAGCAACCGAAAUCCCUAAUUCCUCAAUCAACACAUCCACCCUACCUCUCCGUACCUGCAUCACUUCGGACGAAACCUGAAGGACAACCUCGUGAUUAAGCUCAUGAACGAUGUUGUCAGCAUUUGUAGGUUCUCAAGGUACUCAUAUCUUUCCUUGUUUUAGGUUUUCAAUUUGAUAUAUUAUUUGUUUGAGUUCACCAAUGAUCCUGAGGUCUAGAUUUGCAAACUGAUAUGGUGUAUUUGCAUAUGGAAUUCUUUGCUGAAGUUAGUCCCGUGCAGAUCUUUGUUUCGAACCAUGUGGGUUCCUUUAACAUCGGCAAGUUGUUUCUUUUGAUAGCCCAAUGUGUCUAGAGAUGAGUGAAGUUUGCAGGAUCCAUUGAUUGUAGCAUAUGCUUAAUCAUAUUCUUGUUGUCCUUCAACUGAUUCCCGAUAAUAUGGAGUUCCAAUCUGAUGACAUGCCAAAUUGUGCAACAUCGAAUGGCUUGGUUUCAAGUGAAGAUUCAAAAGGACAGCGAAGGGAGAUUGAAGAUCAUCGGUCUCAUGUUGAAGAGAAGGAACAACCAUUGAAGGAGAACUUGUCCUGGUCUCAAAGUUUCGAACUGAAGUUGCUACAGAAUAAGUGUAAAUUUAUUUCAUAAGUAUUUGGUUUUAUCUAGUAUUGUAACCGUAAAAAUCUUAAAUUAUUAUGUAACGACUAUGGGCAUAAUUAUUUGAAUUGUAAAUUUGAUUAGCGUGUAAUUUAUAUUUGUCUA
Non-coding RNA from Punica granatum (pomegranate), 1103 nucleotides. The record is from RefSeq and is a predicted model, not a curated record. NCBI's taxonomy places the organism in Eukaryota, Viridiplantae, Streptophyta, Magnoliopsida, Myrtales, Lythraceae.